RNAcentral lists this transfer RNA (65 nucleotides) under Nitidulidae sp. BMNH 1274727. RNAcentral's name for it is "tRNA-Ile". Lineage: Eukaryota; Metazoa; Arthropoda; Insecta; Coleoptera; Nitidulidae. The record is from RNAcentral.
AAUGAAAUGCCUGAAAAAAAGGGUUAUCUUGAUAGGAUAAAUUAUGUAAUAUUUUACUUUCAUUA